AGCCGUAGAGGUUAGUAAGGACAAGGUCACAGGAAAUUGAAAUUUGAAUACAGUUCAUUAAACUCAUUUAGUACGUGUCAGACACAGUGAAGUGUUAUCGAGCGAAUUGCUAUAACGGAAUUGGAAGUCUGCCUAUCCCUUAACAUAAAGAAUGCAGGGAAGUCUGUUCCCACCAGCGAAUGUCAGGGAUUAAAGGAAUUCUAUUCCCAGCAUAAAAUAUUUGUGGACAAAUAUUUACAGGAUGAAUGUUAUGUAGAUACGUAUAGGAUCCAGCCGAGAAUGGCGACUACCAGGAAGCUGUAACCUUGUCAGCCUGACACUGAAGAAAUGCUUGAAGUAGCAUUGUAUGCCCAGUGGACAAGCUACAGGUCAAGAAUAUGUUAUGGGAAAAUGCAAGACAACUUUUAAAGAUGAUUGCCAUGCAGACAGCUCUAAAGGACAACUGAAUUUCAGAGGGGAGUAUGUUAGCAUAAUAGCACACCUGGUGAGAUAUGACUGGGAAAAUGUUCUUAUUGAAGUGUACCUAUAUUGUGUACUUAAAUCUAUACUUUGGCUAUCAAGUUUUAAGUCUUAAAAAGAUUAUAUUAAUUUGAAGUUAGUCAACCACGAACAGAAUAGCCAUGUAGGAAUGCCCACCUCCUAGGCUAGCUGGGGUAGUAUAAGGUUUACAGGCGAGACUAUUAUUAAAUGACCAGCAGGAGGGCAGGUAACUUGAGGUUAGAAGCGCCUAAAAUUGUAUGUAGCUUUCUUCCAGUUUGGUAUUUAGGAAUGGGAAGUAUACAAGCCAAUUACUAAUCGGACAAUUCUUGCCAUUCAGAUACUAAUUUACUCUAGGGUUAACGUAUCUGGCUUGAAAAUUUCAUUGGGCAAUACUAAUUUUACUGGGGUGGUGUAAAAUUUGAUUAAGCUUUUGCUAUUCAAUCCAACUGUAAUGGAGCAUUAUUGAGUGUAUAGAGGGGUUGAUAGCUCUUAAGUUUUUAAUUUGCAUUGUAGGCAGUGUUUUCAAGCAGCUACUGUUGGUGAGAUUGAGUGGCAAUAAGUUAAUGUUAUCGAGAUUGCGUGAGAAUUUCAUAAGUUGUCGUUGAUAAAUUGCUACAAUUCACA
Macrobrachium nipponense is the source of this 1104-nucleotide long non-coding RNA. RefSeq lists it as uncharacterized. The record is from RefSeq and is a predicted model, not a curated record. The transcript is spliced from 3 exons. Lineage: Eukaryota; Metazoa; Arthropoda; Malacostraca; Decapoda; Palaemonidae.